UACGGAGGAUGCGAGCGUUAUCCGGAUUUACUGGGUGUAAAGGGAGCGUAGACGGUGAUGCAAGUCAGAAGUGAAAGCCCGGGGCUCAACUCCGGGACUGCUUUGGAAACUGUAUAGCUGGAGUGCAGGAGAGGUAAGUGGAAUUCCUAGUGUAGCGGUGAAAUGCGUAGAUAUUAGGAGGAACACCAGUGGCGAAGGCGGCUUACUGGACUGUAACUGACGUUGAGGCUCGAAAGCGUGGGGAGCAAAAAGG
RNAcentral lists this ribosomal RNA (253 nucleotides) under uncultured Lachnospiraceae bacterium. RNAcentral describes it as "partial 16S ribosomal RNA". It matches the Rfam family "Bacterial small subunit ribosomal RNA", at positions 524 to 776 of the family's 1533-position model. The record is from RNAcentral. Lineage: Bacteria; Bacillati; Bacillota; Clostridia; Lachnospirales; Lachnospiraceae.